This 285-nucleotide unclassified non-coding RNA is filed under the name rhizosphere metagenome. RNAcentral's name for it is "partial ribosomal RNA internal transcribed spacer region". The record is from RNAcentral.
GUAGGUGAACCUGCGGAAGGAUCAUUAACACGUAUCCACGUUUCAAUAUCCACCCCAACUCUGGUCACAGGAUCUAACAUGGCAGGUUGUAAUGUUGUUCGCCGCAAGGUGAACCACCUCUUCCCCUCUGCCUUGAUCUCUACCCUUUUUUCACCCCUUUUGACUCACCCUACUAACACCCCGAGUGGACUGAUACAAACGUGUCGACCUUUACCGGCUCGACCGAACCAUAUGGAUUUUCCAAUGAGUUAAGCACAACUCUUAGCAAUGGAUAUCUUGGUUCUC